CUCGCUGUAGUCACUUCCAGCCAGUGAGAGUGGUUCGUAUAGCGCAUCAUUGACGUAGCUGCAGAGAGCCACGCUAACCUCCGUGCAGCAGCGGGGUUAUACGAGGGUCCAACGGUAUCCGAAUUACUGAGCUAAAGGGCUGCAGGUGGUUAGUUAGUUCAGAGGGAAAGCCGGGGUUCACCUUCGAACCUCCAUUGGAACCUGCCUGAUUUAAGUCCGGUGGGGGGGGUGGAUUCCGGGUAAGCGUGAAAUGCGUAGAGUUCUGAAGAAAUACCGGGGAAAGGCGCCCCCCUGACCAGAUAUGACCAUUCGGAUGAAAGGCGGGGAAGCAAACAGGAUAGGAUACCUUGUUAGUCCACCCGUUAACGAUGUUCUACUUGGAGUUUGUGCCUUGAACCGUUGGCUUUGGAAGUUAAGCGUUUAAGUAGACGCCUGGGGGAGUACGGUGCCAGGAUUAAAAUUCAAAUGAAUUGCGGGGGGCCGGCCCAACCGGUGGACCAUGUGGUUUAUUUGGAUGCAACGGGAGGACCUUUCCUUAUUUUGACCAUCCAGAGAAUUUAGCAGAGAUGUUUGGGUCCUUUGGGGAAUUUUGAGCCAGGUGUGCCAUGGCGUUGUUCAGUUGGUGUUGUGAAAUGUGGGGUUAAUUCCCCCAAGGAGGCCACCCUUUUCCUUUUUUUCCCAGCAGUUAGGUUGGGAACUCCAGGGAGACUGCCGGUGAUAAACCGGAGGAAGGUGGGGACGACGUCAAGUCAUCAUGGCCCUUACGAGUAGGGCUACACACGUGCUACAAUGGCGCAUACAGAGGGCAGCCAACUUGCGAAAGUGAGCGAAUCCCAAAAAGUGCGUCGUAGUCCGGAUUGGAGUCUGCAACUCGACUCCAUGAAGUCGGAAUCGCUAGUAAUCGUGGAUCAGAAUGCCACGGUGAAUACGUUCCCGGGCCUUGUACACACCGCCCGUCACACCAUGGGAGUGGGCUGCAAAAGAAGUGGGUAGUUUAACCUUCGGGAGGACGCUCACCACUUUGGUACA
RNAcentral lists this ribosomal RNA (1029 nucleotides) under Vibrio sp. RNAcentral describes it as "bacterial SSU rRNA". It matches the Rfam family "Bacterial small subunit ribosomal RNA", at positions 419 to 1469 of the family's 1533-position model. Lineage: Bacteria; Pseudomonadati; Pseudomonadota; Gammaproteobacteria; Vibrionales; Vibrionaceae. The record is from RNAcentral.